Long non-coding RNA from Gorilla gorilla gorilla (western lowland gorilla), 2949 nucleotides. RefSeq lists it as uncharacterized. NCBI's taxonomy places the organism in Eukaryota, Metazoa, Chordata, Mammalia, Primates, Hominidae. The record is from RefSeq and is a predicted model, not a curated record. The transcript is spliced from 2 exons.
GCCCGGAAGUGAUGUCAUCGGAACUGUGCAAGGUCCGGUCCAGAGCUGGCUGCUGUUUCGCUAGCGAGCGGCAUGCUUAGUGAAGAAAAGCUUAAAGGCCGUCUUUGCCCAAAACGCUCUCUGUGCGGGCCUGCAUUUCCCCCAGAUUUGCAGGUGAUGAGAGUUCUGUAAAAUUACACAGCUAGUGACUGGUCCAGCGGAGGCCGAAUACAGAUGGAGUCUCACUCUGUUGCCAGGCUGGAGUGCAGUGGUGCCAUCUCAGCUCACUACAACCUCCACCUCCGGGGUUCAAGCGAUUCUCCUGCCUCAGCCUUCCGAGUAGCUGGGACUACAGGUGCCUGCCACCAUUCCCAGUUAAUUUUUGUAUUUUUAGUAGAGAUGACAUUUCACUAUGUUGGCCAGGCUGGUUUUGAACUCCUGACCUCGUGAUCCACCUGCCUCAGCUUCCCAAAGUGCUGGGAUUACAGGCAUGAGCCACCACGCCUGGCCCAAAUCCUAUUUUUCAAUAUUUAUUUCCUAAUUAUGUCCUACUAGGUUAGGUUUUAUUUUCAUUUGUUACAUAUUUAUUGGGUUAUUUCCUUUAUGCUAGGAACUUUAUUAGUUAUUAAGGAUACAGAUGAGGUCCAUUCUCUGUUCUCAAGAAUCUGAGUCUACAGGCAGAAGACAAAAUGCAGUACAGAAUUAUGGAAAUGUGAAUGGAAACUGCAUUCAGAGAGGGGUAUUGCUUGGGAAAAGCCACAUUGGCGUGCCACAGAUGUAUGCCAGCCUGGCAGGCCCAUAGUGUGAUUACUUGAGUUUCAAUAUCUGAUUCUUUUAUAGGCUUGAAAUUGGUUUAUCAGGUCUAGAAGUGACUGGACUCUGGAGUACUGAGUUACCCACCACAAACUGCUAAUAAAAUGCUGUGUAAAACCCAUUAAUACUAAUGUAUUAUUUAUGAGAAACACAAUUAUGGGGAAGCUAGGAUAGUUGAGUUUGCUGGUCAUUAUCUUCCUUGUAUUGACCAAAUUACAAUGAAGGCUAAAUCCAAAUUAUAAUCAUAAGAUUGCUUGGUAAAUACAGAACAGAAACAAUAGAAAUUGUGUGUGGUGCUUUUAAUGGCUAGUAUUUCAAGCCUGAUGCAGCCCUUUCCACUUGAGUCACAUUGUCUUACAUUCUUUGACUUGGCUAGUGCUAAAAAUACAUUGCCAUUUUCCUUUCUCCAUUUUUUUUUUUUUUUUUGAGACGACGUCUGGAUUGCAAUGGCGUGAGGUUGGCUCACUGCAACCUCUGCCUCCCGGGUUCAAGCGAUUCUCCUGCCCCAGCCUCCUGAGUAGCUGGGACUACAGGUGCACGCCACCACGCCCAGCUAAUUUUUGUAUUUCUGGCAGAGACGGGGUUUCACCAUGUUGGCCAGGAUGGUCUCCAUCUCUUGACCUCGUGAUCCACCUGCCUCGGCCUCCCAAAGUGCUAGGAUUACAGGCGUGAGCCACCACGCCCAGCCCAUCCUUUCUCCUCUUAAAUUUUCUUUGCUGACCAGUAUCUCUUGAUGUGGAACGUUCUUUCAUUAGUGGUAAUACUGUCAGGUCUUUGGAAGAUAUUUUGGGUUUUGUUUGCUGAACCAUUAUGCUUAUUUUACAAAUUAACUUUUCUGAACUUUAUCGUGGUAGAAUUUACGUAACAAUUUACCAUUUUGACCAUUUUUAAGUUCAAAGGAACUAAGUACAUUCACAUUGCUAUGCAACUAUGACUACCAUCUAGCUCCAGAACCUUUUCAUCUUCUCAAACUGAAAUUCUGUACCCAUUAAACAAUAAGCUCCCAGCCGGGCACAGUGGCUCUCGCCUGUAAUCCCAGCACUUCGGGAGGCUGAGGUGGGCGGAUUACCUGGAGUCAGGAGUUCGAGACCAGCCUGGCCAACAUGAUGGCCGUCUCUACUAAGAAUACAAAAAUUAGCUGGGUGUGGUGAUGAAUGCCUGUAAUCCCAGCUGCGCGGGAGGCUGAGGCAUGAGAAUCACUUGAACCUGGGAGGCAGACGUUGCAGUGAGCUGGGAUUGCACCACUACACUCCAGCCUAGGCAACAGAGGGAGACUCCCGUCUCAAAAAAAAACAAAACAAAAACAAGAACCAAUAAGCUGCCAUUCCUUCUGCCUUCCAGCCCUUGGCAACCACCAUUCCACUUUAAAUUUAAUUAUUCUAGGAGUUCAUAAAAGUGGGAUAACACAGUAUUUGUCAUUUUGUGACUGACUUAUUUCACAUAUCAUAAUGUCUUCAAGAUUCAUCCAGGAUGUAAUAUAUAUCAGAAGUUUCCUCCUUUUUAAGGCUGAGUAAUAUUCCAUUUUGUGUUUAUGUCACAUUUCUUUUAACCAUUCAUCCCUUGAUGGACACUUGGAUUGCUUCCACCUUCUGGCUAUUGUGAAUAAUGCUGCUGUGAACAUAGAUGUACAAAUUAUCUGUCCAAGUUCCUGCUUUCACUUCUUUUGGGUAUAUACCCGGAAGUGGAAUUGCUGGAUAUAAUUUUAAUUUUUGAGGAAUCUCCAUACUCAGAUGAUCUUAUUUCCUUAUUUUUCAAGUGUGUGGGUCUAUGUGUGGUUUUGGCAGGGAAGGGAGAGGGCGAGUCUCUGUCGUUCCCACGUACUCCCCAUGACUGUUAAGUGCUGUGUUAGAAGCAUAUGGUUUGAUGAGAAUUCUAGGAGAGACAAAUGUUUCAAAGGAUCUCUGUAUUUUCACCGGCAAUAACUAAUAAAUCAUCUGGCUUCUCUGUUCCCCCUGUAAAAAUUAUAAAAUGGAGAAAAUAAUGCAUGUUUUAUCAUCUUGGUAAAAUGGUCAACAUAAAUGCAGAAUAUUUGAAAACUCCGGGGUUUUCAAAAUAAGAUUGUCAAUAAAAAUUUAUAAUUGCUAAUUGGAAAGUCAGAAAAUUUAUACACUGUAAAAUUCCUUUCAUACUUUAUAUCUUAAAACUAUUUUACAAUGU